RNAcentral lists this ribosomal RNA (460 nucleotides) under uncultured bacterium. RNAcentral's name for it is "partial 16S ribosomal RNA". It matches the Rfam family "Bacterial small subunit ribosomal RNA", at positions 28 to 523 of the family's 1533-position model. The record is from RNAcentral.
GAUGAACGCUGGCGGCGUGCCUAAUACAUGCAAGUCGAGCGGUAAGGCCUCUUCGGAGGUACACGAGCGGCGGACGGCUGAGUAACGCGUAGGAAUGUACCCCAAAGUGAGGGAUAAGCACCAGAAAUGGUGUCUAAUACCGCAUGUGAUCCACGGAUUAAAGCUUUAUGCGCUUUGGGAACAGCCUGCGCCCGAUUAGCUAGUUGGUAGUGUAAUGGACUACCAAGGCGAUGAUCGGUAGCUGGUCUGAGAGGAUGAUCAGCCAGACUGGGACUGAGACACGGCCCAGACUCCUACGGGAGGCAGCAGUAGGGAAUUUUCCACAAUGGGGGCAACCCUGAUGGAGCAACGCCGCGUGCAGGAUGAAUGCCUUCGGGUUGUAAACUGCUUUUAUCUGUGACGAUUAUGACGGUAGCAGAUGAAUAAGGACCUGCUAACUACGUGCCAGCAGCCGCCGCAG